GCGGGAAUAGCUCAGUGGUAGAGCAUCUCCUUGCCAAGGAGAGGGUCGCGGGUUCAAAUCCCGUUUCCCGCU
Molecule: transfer RNA, 72 nt
Filed under: Spirochaetia bacterium
Lineage: Bacteria; Pseudomonadati; Spirochaetota; Spirochaetia
Description: tRNA-Gly
Rfam family: tRNA
About the family: Transfer RNA (tRNA) molecules are approximately 80 nucleotides in length. Their secondary structure includes four short double-helical elements and three loops (D, anti-codon, and T loops).
Source: RNAcentral